Molecule: unclassified non-coding RNA, 210 nt
Filed under: Hevea brasiliensis (rubber tree)
Lineage: Eukaryota; Viridiplantae; Streptophyta; Magnoliopsida; Malpighiales; Euphorbiaceae
Source: RNAcentral
AGAACAAGAAGAAUAGAAGCGAUGAGAGAAGUUGGAGAGCUUUGUGGGAGUAAGGAUUUCGUACACUUGAGGAAUAGCCCCUUAUCCCUUAUUUCUUCAUGGUGCUCCCAUGAGGAUGUAUAGAAUAUUGGGUGUCUUUUUUGAACCAUAUCUUUUCUAAAGGUUAUCUUUUUGGUAUACUUGUAUAUGGGCAUGUUUUGUCCUUCUUUU